GCGCCCGUAGCUCAGCUGGAUAGAGCGCAUGCCUCCGGAGCAUGAGGUCGUAGGUUCGAAUCCUAUCGGGCGUA
RNAcentral lists this transfer RNA (74 nucleotides) under bacterium. RNAcentral's name for it is "tRNA-Arg". It matches the Rfam family "tRNA". Rfam says of the family: Transfer RNA (tRNA) molecules are approximately 80 nucleotides in length. Their secondary structure includes four short double-helical elements and three loops (D, anti-codon, and T loops). RNAcentral also lists the same sequence under 1 other name. The record is from RNAcentral.